Tachysurus fulvidraco (yellow catfish) is the source of this 6321-nucleotide long non-coding RNA. RefSeq lists it as uncharacterized. The transcript has 7 exons. NCBI's taxonomy places the organism in Eukaryota, Metazoa, Chordata, Actinopteri, Siluriformes, Bagridae. The record is from RefSeq and is a predicted model, not a curated record.
ACUUGUGAGAAUUAACUUCACAUGUAAUAGCUAAAUUGCAUCUUGAGAUUCACUUGUUAUCAGUUUGGUGUCUGUACAACACCAGAUUAUUACAGAUUUAACAGGUUCAGUCUGCUGGCAGAAAUGUAUUUGCUUGUUAGAGGACAACAGUGUAGGGGAGACGAGACAGUUGUAACGGGACGGUUGUAACACCUUGAAUUCCUCCAAUUAGAGACAACCUAGAGUGAUCACACUCACUGCGCAUGCUCAGUUAGUUUCCCUCCAUUUUUGCCAUAAAGGGAGCCACAUUAGAAUCUUCCUGACGGAGUUAUCUACAAAAGAUUGUUUUGGAGCAGAAAUCAGCCUAACAGAGAUUUGGAUGGGCCCACUGAUAAAUUCCACCUCCCCAUCAGGAUCCACACGCCGCCUACUACUAGGAGGAGCUUCCCAAUUGAUGUCCUCGUCCUCCCUCGUCCUUCUGCCCUGCCGUGGGACUGGAACAACCAUGAUGGCACGAGCAUAAGGCUGACCAGGCACUACUGUAUGUCCUCGUUGUUAACAUGAUAGUGAGGUCGGGACAGAGGAAGUGUAGGGUGGGGUGGCCUCUUCAAAAGGAUGGGCUUCUUACAGGAAAUGGGACCCACAGAGGGGAUGUUCUCCUCAAAGGUGAUGGGCCCCAUAUAGGGGAUAGACCCCUCAUAGGUGGGUAUGGGUAGGGGAUAGGGGAUGGGCUCGACACCUCAUGCUCACCACCAUCAUGCGCUUCAUUUGGUCGCCCGGGCCUGUUGUCGUUGUCCUCGUAAUCGCUGAGGUCUCUGCUGUAGUAGAGUCGGUGUAGGGAUAAAAAUACACAAUUGGAGGCAGAGAACAGGCAAAAUAGCGGUGUAGAAAUAUUGCAGUCGGUAAUCCACGUCUUGCGAGCUUCACCACCGUGACACAUCUGAUUUUUUAGAUUGACUAGGUCGACGUGUCACGUGAAAAAGUAAGGACACCCGCACAUUUAUUUGUACUAUAAAUGUCUAAAAACAACUUGCAGAUAAAUCACAGCAAGUGCAAAUUAUUAGAACAUGUUUACAAAGCAUUAUGAAGGAGGCUUGAAUUAUUUAAACUUCAGAUAUUUAGUUUGUUUGCUUUUAAUUGGUAAGUGAGAUAUAUCACCAUGAUGAGACAACCCAGUCUCACGGCAGUUCGUGUCAUAGUGUCAGGCACGGGGAUAAAAUAAACAGGUUUUAAUAACUUAAAAAGCACCAAACAGAGACUAGGACAAGACGACAACGACAGGACAGAACAUAGGAUUCCGCGUGGAUCAAGGCAACCCGGCUCAACUAAACAUGCCAGCAGCAGUGGACUCCUGAUUCAAAGGACCUCCUUAGGAGUGGAUAUUGGCCAGCUUCUGUCAGCAAUUCAAUGCUGUAUACACUGGACCAUCUGAGCGCCUUUCAGGAGCUCAAGGUCAUCGCUCCAGGAUUCUCCAGACAAGCCAUUGCAAAGCUGCUGGAGCAUCGGACUAAGUGUGCAGGAAGAAAUGGACAUAUCAACGGCGAUGCACUGCAGCGGAGCUUCUUGGAGUUUUCCUACGCUUCUUUUGAAGAAGACCAGCUCUGCUGUAGUGCUCCUGCCCAGCCUGCAUGCCGGAAAUGUUGGCUGUUUCCACCGAAGGGAACAGAAAGCUAUAUCGCUUUCACCGAAACACAAGACACAGGGAAGAGGCUCAUGUGAGGACUCCCAGUGAACAGCAGCGAGGGAGACUUCAAGGAGGGCUUCCAAAUUGGAUGAAGAUGGGAUGGAUGUUGCUGUCACCAUGGGUUCCUUCUGAAAGCCCUUAAAAUGUACAGGGGGGAGAUAUUUGCCUACCCCCUGUAUUUUCAGAAGGAGCUCAUGCCAGCCAAGGCAAAAUUCUUUGCUAUGGAUGUGGCUUGCAAAUAUUGGCCAUACUUGGAGAAAGUUGCUCAAGUCCUUCCUGCCCUUCAGGAGCUCACCGAAAUGAAACCCUUCCUCAGCAUAAUGCAUGCUCGAGCCCAUGCUACAAAGUGUGAGAUUAAAUGGAGUGGUAGGAACCAGGAAGGAGCAGGAACAACAGCCGGAGAGGAGGUGGAGCAAGUGAACAGCUACCUGUCACGUUGUGCCCUGACUACCAAAUAUACUGUAUGUCCAAAGCAGCAUGGGUGGACAUGGUUACUUUGCAUGCAGUGGGGUGGAACCACAAAAAAAAGUCUCUCUCUACAUCUGGCACUUUCCACAAGAUAUGUGAAGACACCCCAGAUACAUCUCGUGCCAGUCAAGGCGUGUGUAUGACCUCCCUACAACACCUGGGCAUGUUCCUGACUCCUGAACAGUCCGUGGUGGUCGUCUGCUCCAUCUCCCCCACUGUAGUGGUCGUCUGCUCCAUCUCCCCCACUGUAGUGGUCGUCUGCUCCAUCUCCCCCACUGUAGUGGUCGUCUGCUCCAUCUCUCCCUCUGUAGUGGUCGUCUGCUCCAUCUCCCCCUCUUUAGUGCUCAUCUGCUCCAACCGCAUGGUCCUCAACACCUCGCGGUUGCUUGCGUUCUCCAAUGGGUCACAGGGUGUGAGGUGCAGCAUAAUCAGCUGAUCAUCAUUGAUAUCCUGGGUCCAACCUGUGCAAGUUAAACAAGUCUUGUUUUACACACAUUUAUAAAAUAGAGGUUAACCAUGAACUUGAACUGUACAUAUUUUAAGUGUUAAUCUGUUUGAAUCAUAUAGUCAAAUUUUUCCUAACCAGAUUUGUGGGCACUUUAGAAUCCAGGGAAACUAUUGAUAGUCUACUGGAUGUACUCGAUAUCUGCAAAUCUAGAUUUAUUUGAUUUUCUGUGACUAAAACAAAUACGUCUUUUAUUCAGGAAAAAAACAGAGUGCUCAUAAUAUGUAUUCAAAAAAUGACACCAAGAGUAAUGUUUGUUUACAGACUGAGUCUGUAUUUAGUUCAGACUGGACUGUGUCGUGUACUAAAAAACUUUGGGCUUUAUGCCUCCAAGUUAGUAGUAGUGUGUGUGGUGUAUCCAGCCAACAAUUGAUGCCUUUCUUUUUCUUUGUGCUAUUUCCUUUAAUGGUCCCUUGCAUUGUGAGCUCUACAGUCAGCACUAUAUUGAGAUUGAUUACAAUUUGAUUCAUUGACUCAGUGACCAAAACAGACCUUAGCAGAUUUCAUGGAUCUAAUUAGUAUAUGUCACUACAAACAUUGCUUUGGUCAGCAUGCCUAAACAUUAAAAAUAUUGUUGUAUGUGGACUGAAAACAGAAAGGAAAUAUGGCUUCUACAAAAACCAUCCCAAACAUAAUAAUUCCAUAGUUGGCAGUAUGUUUAAUCCUAAUAUUGUUAUAACAUAUGUAGCGGCUAUCUUGCAUUGUUAAAAGCCGCCGAGAGGCUGAAGCAAGAACUCAAUGCAUUUGCGACCCUUAUGAAGUAUCAGUGAGGCAAACAGCUGUUAAUAGUCCCUUUUUAUUGCACAGACAGAUAUUUUUUCUUUCAAAAGUGUAUAUGAGUAUGGUCAAAAAAGAAUACAUCGUCCUGACUCACCCCCUCUCUCCACCACACUAAGUGAACAGGUGACUAAUAUUCCUAUUCCCAGGUAAUCCCGUGACCCUCCACCAUGAUCAUGUGACAUUAAUUUAACUCUUUCAUGUCCCUUUCAACAUAAAUGCACAUUAAAGUAACAAAUGUAAAAUGAAACAAUCUUAAACACUUGCUUACAAUCAAAAAAAUACACAAGGUUAGUGUCCACUUCUUUCCAGAUCAAUAACGGUUACAUUACAUGUCCUCAGAAGUCCCCCAUGCAGAAUUAUCCAUGUCUUAUUAAUCUACCCAAUCACAUAAUCAUAGUAGUUCGCUCCUCAUCCCCAAAUCUUGUGCACUUGCUUUCAAUACUUUUCAAUACCUCACAAUACUAUGCAGAUAAAAACAGUGGCAGUGGAGAGGUAGAGACAUUUUGAAGUCAGUUGUCUUACAAUUUGUAGUUUGCCAAAAUCUUACAAAAUGGUUUGAGUGCUGUUUGACUGUACAAGGCUAGAUAAAUACUUCAAUUGUUUUAAAAGAUCCAGUGUUGUGCUAACAAACUCUGUGUUGGACAUAAAAAUGGAAACCUCUCCCAAGUUUCUACUGUCAAGGAGGUUGAGAGUGAAAUUGACUGAAUUUAAGGUUUUUUUUUAGGGUUAAGCGAUCCCUUUAUGAUUUAAACACUGACAAAAUCUUUUGUGUUCUAAAAAAACAAGUGAAAAUACAGUGUGUGCAUCUCACCUUAACAAAUGUUUUCAUAAAGUAAGCCUAUCUUCUGAAGAUAGACCUGGGCAUAGGUGGGAAUGUGUGCAGCGAGGGGUUAAUAUUUCACACUUAUUUUCUUUUUCUUUUUUUUGUUCUUCUUUCCAAGAAGCAGCACUGGCUUGUAUCCAAUGGCAUGGAGUUUGUCAAGCUGUAAUGAAAUGACAACCUUGUGAAUUUGCUGUUUAAAGUAAUAGAAAAACAACAGCAAAAAUAACUAAAUAUUAAUUAUUUAGAAAAUAUAUAUCAUUCUUAAUGACAGCAUCCAGGUUAAUGCCAUUUAGGAUAUUUAACUUCAUGGUAAGUUUAGCUUUUGUAUACCAAGUAUGUGCAAACAGGAAAGGCUCAUAAACUAGAAGCAAAUUCCAACUCUUCUAUUUAGAAAAACAUUAAAAAGAUGAAUCUCACAACAUGAGGGUAAAAAGAGAAUUUUUUGCAACAUUAGUCGCUCGGGUUUAUCGCCUACAUUGAUAGGAUUGUGUAACCACUGUGCAAUUGGACAGUGACAAUCUAUAGAUUUAUUUUAAAAAAAUAAAUAAAUAAAGGCAGAAUCUUUGAGAUUAUAUGACCAAAUGGGUGAAUGCUGCACAUACAUUUACACUUGACGUGUGUACAUUGUAAAAUGCUUUAAUGAAUGUAGUAGUAUGAACACAGUCCGUUUGUUAUUUCUCGUUGAUAAGAAAGUUUGAUUAUUAUAUUUCACCUGUGAUUCUGUAAUAAUGCAUGCCUGUAUUUGUUAUGGACUCAGAAUUGCAUGCACGUGAUGUUCAUUCUAUUUAUCAGCAUAUUAUUUUGUAUAUUUUUAAUUACUCUAGUGGCUCAUGUAAACUUUAUUGUAUUAACAAAAACUACUUUAAGAAAUUGCACCUACCAUGAUAAUGGUGGCAUCCUUGAUGGAUGCACUGUUGUGGUUCUUCUUAUGACCAAACACUCCUUCCUCUCGCUUGUCAUCAAACCUCUGAAGCUUCUUCUUGAGGCUUCUUCAUUGUCAGACAUGUAGACAAAAACAGAAAAAAGGGAAAGAUUGAGAAAUUGAGAUAGAUAACAGAUAGACAUUGAAGAGAUAGAAAUAUAGAUGGACAGAGAGGUUAUGAGAGAGGGAUAGAAAAUGAUGAAGAAUGGAUAGAGGUUGACUCUUAAAAGUGCCUUUGGUUUUUGGAAAUCAGGUGUAUCUAUAGGGUGAAGGUGAAGUAUGACAGGAUCUGCAGGGAGAACAGAACAUGUUCAUUAUGUAGUGAAGGCUAGAUAUGUUGAAAAAAGGUUUAAAAUGUGUACCCCGAUAGUGAGAGAUACCAGUUUUCUUUAAAAUACUUAAUAAUUCAACAAAAUUCACGUUUUUCCCAUUUUCUGUAUGACUGCACAAAAGGCACGUCCUUUUCUCUUUUUUUUUGUACUGUUAAUAUGGAAACCGUUGGUCGGCCUUUAAUUCGUUGCUCUAACAUGUAAACCAUGUGAGACUAAUGGCAAAGAAAAGCAACAAUUAUAACAUUUAAAAAAUUUGAUCAUUACAUUCAAGUCUCGUGGCUUUACCUGGGAAGUGGAUUGAGCGCAAUGAAGUGAAUAUGGUUCAACAAUAAGUGACCAUCUUCAUACUAUUACAGUACAUUCUCUCUCCGACACUCUCACUGUCUUCCACUUCGAACUUGUCAGCUGACUGUUGGGGUUUUAUUUCUUAAACCAAUCAUAUUUUCGCCUCAAUCCUCUUGAACCAAAUGUGUCAUAGUUGUUCAAGUUUAAAGCUGUUCCUUAGAUGCUGUCAGUUGUCAUUUCAGGCAAAUCGACGUGACCCUCUUCCACCCCAUUCACCUCCAGUCGUCAUUGCAUUCAGCUCCCAUGGAUCCUUCCACUGAGCUCCACAUUCAUCCAGAUCUCAGCAUUGCUACUCAGCCCAGCAUCACCACCAUUGUCUAGACUCCAUGCCAAAGAAUAUUGGUUUCAACUUAUGCAUCUUGUCAGUAAAUUGUUAUGAUGACUCUUUAAGCUUUUAGUGAAUAAAUAUGCAUUUAGUGUAUUUUCAUUUGUAUUUUUGUCAAAGACCACAAAUGAACUACAAUAAACACUUGUAAAAUAUUA